CUUUCCCUCUGGCGGUAGACCUAACACAUGCAAGUCGAACGGCAGCACAGUAAGAGCUUGCUCUUACGGGUGGCGAGUGGCGGACGGGUGAGGAAUACAUCGGAAUCUACUUUUUCGUGGGGGAUAACGUAGGGAAACUUACGCUAAUACCGCAUACGACCUACGGGUGAAAGCAGGGGAUCUUCGGACCUUGCGCGAUUGAAUGAGCCGAUGUCGGAUUAGCUAGUUGGCGGGGUAAAGGCCCACCAAGGCGACGAUCCGUAGCUGGUCUGAGAGGAUGAUCAGCCACACUGGAACUGAGACACGGUCCAGACUCCUACGGGAGGCAGCAGUGGGGAAUAUUGGACAAUGGGCGCAAGCCUGAUCCAGCCAUACCGCGUGGGUGAAGAAGGCCUUCGGGUUGUAAAGCCCUUUUGUUGGGAAAGAAAAGCAGCAGGUUAAUACCCCGCUGUUCUGACGGUACCCAAAGAAUAAGCACCGGCUAACUUCGUG
Molecule: ribosomal RNA, 492 nt
Filed under: uncultured bacterium
Lineage: Bacteria
Description: partial 16S ribosomal RNA
Rfam family: Bacterial small subunit ribosomal RNA
Source: RNAcentral